This 253-nucleotide ribosomal RNA is filed under the name uncultured bacterium. RNAcentral describes it as "partial 16S ribosomal RNA". It matches the Rfam family "Bacterial small subunit ribosomal RNA", at positions 524 to 776 of the family's 1533-position model. The record is from RNAcentral.
UACGUAGGGUGCGAGCGUUAAUCGGAAUUACUGGGCGUAAAGCGUGCGCAGGCGGUCUUGUAAGACAGUCGUGAAAGCCCCGGGCUUAACCUGGGAACUGCCUUUGUGACUGCAUCGCUAGAGUACGGUAGAGGGGGGUGGAAUUCCGCGUGUAGCAGUGAAAUGCGUAGAUAUGCGGAGGAACACCGAUGGCGAAGGCAGCCCCCUGGACCUGUACUGACGCUCAUGCACGAAAGCAUGGGGAGCAAACAGG